CAGUUCAUCCAAGGUGCAAAUUUGAACUUUUCUCGUAUCUAUAUGACAAAGCCAGUUUUGACUAGCAUUGUCCCAGGAGCUGGUCCUCUUCACUCAUCAGCAUACUUUGUUAAAUUCUACUUGCCUGAUAAGUUCCAGGCUGAUCCACCUCUUCCCCUUCCGGAGCUGAACCUUCAACCUGAUCCAUGGACUAGUCAUUGCAUUGCUGUUAGGAAGUUUUCAGGAUUUGCAAGAGAUAGCAACAUUGUUAAAGAAGCUGAGAAACUGGCUGUGAGCUUGAGUAGAUCUCCAUGGGCAAAUUCCACUGCUUCUUCGAGUGAAUAUGCUUACUCUAUAGCCCAGUAUAAUUCCCCCUUCCGGAUCAUUGGACGUGUCAAUGAAGUGUGGGUGGAUGUUGCUGGAUCUGGAGCAAGUGGUUGCGAAUCCAAUCAAGUUGCUGUAUACUGAUUAUGACCGCGAGCUUGAAGCUUCUUCAUCGUUGUUGUACAUCUCCCUUUUUAGAGACCAAAGAAGCAUGAAUGGUUGCUUCUUAUGUACACAUUAUCAUGCUCGUGUUCUGUAAAUUUGGAUUUCCUUACUGGGACUACAUGGUUUCAUGGAAGUGUGAUUAAUUCCUGUAAUUCCNAUUUUCAUGGUGACGGGCGACUCUAGAUGGUCGGUCAUUAUUAAGCACUGUUUAUUAGAUGUGUCGUUCUGAAGUCUGAACCAGUUGUUUAAUGUUAUAUGUUAAAAGAGAAGAUGUUCCUGGCUUAACAGAUACAUAGACUUCUAGUAAAUGCUAGCAGUGAUAGGUUUGUGGCUCUUCUAGUGGUGUAUGAGGAUCUGGAGAUGUUCUUUUAGUAGAUUUAACUCAGUUAUGGUUGCAGUUACGAACAAAUACAGUUGAACAGAACAGUGCACAAGAAAGUUUCCAUGUCUCUGACUAAUAAUAUAAAUCAAUCAGCUAAGCCUCAAUCUCAAUUGUUUUGGAUCAGCCAUAUAAAUCUUUUGUAUUGAUUAAGGUUGUGUGUGUCUAGGUGAAUACGUAGGCAUGAACGUAGUAUUCAGAUAAUCUAUACCCUAUUUUAUCUGAAUUUGGGACUGGCUCUGGUAUAAUCAGAGUUCAUGUCUAGAUGAAUUCAAAGCUUACGUUUAUAUGUUCACUCAUUGUCGUACAGAUUGUUUCAGUUCAUCCAAGGUGCAAAUUUGAACUUUUCUCGUAUCUAUAUGACAAAGCCAGUUUUGACUAGCAUUGUCCCAGGAGCUGGUCCUCUUCACUCAUCAGCAUACUUUGUUAAAUUCUACUUGCCUGAUAAGUUCCAGGCUGAUCCACCUCUUCCCCUUCCGGAGCUGAACCUUCAACCUGAUCCAUGGACUAGUCAUUGCAUUGCUGUUAGGAAGUUUUCAGGAUUUGCAAGAGAUAGCAACAUUGUUAAAGAAGCUGAGAAACUGGCUGUGAGCUUGAGUAGAUCUCCAUGGGCAAA
Molecule: long non-coding RNA, 1463 nt
Filed under: Solanum pimpinellifolium
Lineage: Eukaryota; Viridiplantae; Streptophyta; Magnoliopsida; Solanales; Solanaceae
Description: long non-coding RNA (SPIM_LNC000084)
Source: RNAcentral